UACAGAGGUCUCAAGCGUUGUUCGGAUUCAUUGGGCGUAAAGGGUGCGUAGGCGGCGGGGUAAGUCUGAUGUGAAAUCCCGGGGCUCAACCCCGGAACUGCAUUGGAUACUGCCUUGCUAGAGUACUGGAGAGGAGAUUGGAAUUUACGGUGUAGCAGUGAAAUGCGUAGAUAUCGUAAGGAAGACCAGUGGCGAAGGCGAAUCUCUGGACAGUUACUGACGCUGAGGCACGAAGGCCAGGGGAGCAAACGGG
Molecule: ribosomal RNA, 253 nt
Filed under: uncultured bacterium
Lineage: Bacteria
Description: partial 16S ribosomal RNA
Rfam family: Bacterial small subunit ribosomal RNA
Source: RNAcentral